RNAcentral lists this ribosomal RNA (561 nucleotides) under uncultured Dechloromonas sp. RNAcentral's name for it is "bacterial SSU rRNA". It matches the Rfam family "Bacterial small subunit ribosomal RNA", at positions 97 to 654 of the family's 1533-position model. Lineage: Bacteria; Pseudomonadati; Pseudomonadota; Betaproteobacteria; Rhodocyclales; Azonexaceae. The record is from RNAcentral.
GGCGAACGGGUGAGUAAUGCAUCGGAACGUACCCAUUAGUGGGGGAUAACUCUCCGAAAGGAGGGCUAAUACCGCAUAUUCUGUGAGCAGGAAAGCAGGGGAUCGCAAGACCUUGCGCUAAUGGAGCGGCCGAUGUCAGAUUAGCUAGUUGGUGAGGUAAAGGCUCACCAAGGCGACGAUCUGUAGCGGGUCUGAGAGGAUGAUCCGCCACACUGGAACUGAGACACGGUCCAGACUCCUACGGGAGGCAGCAGUGGGGAAUUUUGGACAAUGGGGGCAACCCUGAUCCAGCCAUGCCGCGUGAGUGAAGAAGGCCUUCGGGUUGUAAAGCUCUUUCGGCCGGGAAGAAAUCGCAUGGGUUAAUACCCUGUGUGGAUGACGGUACCGGAAUAAGAAGCACCGGCUAACUACGUGCCAGCAGCCGCGGUAAUACGUAGGGUGCGAGCGUUAAUCGGAAUUACUGGGCGUAAAGCGUGCGCAGGCGGUUUUGUAAGACAGGCGUGAAAUCCCCGGGCUUAACCUGGGAACUGCGCUUGUGACUGCAAGGCUAGAGUACGGCAG